RNAcentral lists this transfer RNA (85 nucleotides) under Candidatus Nomurabacteria bacterium. Its description in RNAcentral is "tRNA-Leu". It matches the Rfam family "tRNA". Rfam says of the family: Transfer RNA (tRNA) molecules are approximately 80 nucleotides in length. Their secondary structure includes four short double-helical elements and three loops (D, anti-codon, and T loops). Further hydrogen bonds mediate the characteristic L-shaped molecular structure. tRNAs have two regions of fundamental functional importance: the anti-codon, which is responsible for specific mRNA codon recognition, and the 3' end, to which the tRNAs corresponding amino acid is attached (by aminoacyl-tRNA synthetases). tRNAs cope with the degeneracy of the genetic code in two manners: having more than one tRNA (with a specific anti-codon) for a particular amino acid; and 'wobble' base-pairing, i.e. permitting non-standard base-pairing at the 3rd anti-codon position. RNAcentral also lists the same sequence under 1 other name. Lineage: Bacteria; Candidatus Nomuraibacteriota. The record is from RNAcentral.
GCGCGAGUGGUGAAAUUGGUAUACACGUAUGCCUUAGGAGCAUAUGCCUUCGGGCGUGGAGGUUCAAGUCCUCUCUCGCGCACCA